UUAAAUCAAUUUAAUCAAAUCAAACUCUAAUGCACCUAACUAGGGUUUAAUUUGAAUCAAAUCCGAUUAAGUCCCAAUGCAUAUACAUAGAAUUUAAUCAAUCCCUCACCUUAGGGUGAACAAUAUUGUUGAGCACUGAAACAUAUAGAGCCCAAUCAAAUCAAUUUGAUCAUAUACUUUGAUUCAGAAUUAAGUUCAAUCAACCGUCAUAUUCAUUCAUGUACACUGGGGGUAUGCCCCAGGUUAAGCCAUGUAACUAUACAUUGGAUUAUGUUAUAAAAUUCACAUUUUAUUCAAUUUCAGUCUAUUUCAGCAUUACAGAGGUCUCUUAAUCGAAGGUGCCCUAACACUUUGAAGGGGUAAUUAACAAUAGACGCUUGCGUUUAUUGGAAGCCAUGAAUCCACAAUACCUGACAA
RNAcentral lists this long non-coding RNA (417 nucleotides) under Ananas comosus (pineapple). RNAcentral describes it as "long non-coding RNA (ACOM_LNC008634)". The record is from RNAcentral. Lineage: Eukaryota; Viridiplantae; Streptophyta; Magnoliopsida; Poales; Bromeliaceae.